ACAGAGAGAGAGAUAUCAUUUAUUAUCCACUUUUUAAGCAACAUCAUUCGCUUUAGAAAAGAAAGGACAAUUUUACCUAAACAAUGACUGGAGCAAAUUUUAUUUAAUAUUUUUCUUAAAUUAAAAUGAAGAACUUGAAAAUACAUACAAACCAAUCUGUAGAUGUAUGCAUUAGCAGAAACUUUAAUCCAAGACUUGCAAUGCAUCCAAGUUAGACAUUUAGAAUAAUCACAUGUUCUAUGCACUGCAAAUACUAAUUCAAAGCCCAACCUGGACAAAGCAUUAUGCAUUUAAACGUGUAGAUUUGUUAUACAAGAAAUAUAUUUUUUUACUAAAUAAAAGACUAAACAUACAUGAACAUAUUUGCUAAAAAAACUCCUACUAACUGCAAGUUUGUUUCAGUAAGACCUUUCUUUCAAUUCAGACAGAAAGUUUAGAUUUCAAAACGUUAAAAGCAUUUGCAUUCUGCUGACAUCCACUGGUCGCAAUGGUGCGACUCACUUUCUAAAAUGGUCGCACCAAUUUAUAAUUUGGUGGCACCCGCUUUAUAGUUAUCAUAAUGAACCUGACCAUACCAUAAUGAACUUCUUUCAAGUUAUAUAUUGGCUAUGACAUGAUCCGACACAAAUAUAACCCGUCACUCUUCACAAUCCUCCUUUGUUGCCCUCUUUGCAAAAAGCUGCGAUCAUUUGCCAGACCUUGUUUUAAAAUUACAGUCUUUUACCACAUUAAAUUAAAUUAGAUAGCUUAAAACUCAAAAGUAACUCAGAACUAAAUGAUUAUAUAUGUACUACUAUAUGUAUGUGUAGUACUAUAUGUACUACACAUUGUCAUAGAUAAACUUUAAACACUUAAUCUUACUAAUCUUACAGUCUUGUUAAAUGGUCCAAGCACGCUUGUUUUCUGGGGUGUUUCUUCAAUCUAGAGCCCUGCAUCCACAAUGGCUUGCUUCUCUAGUGAAUGCAGCUUUGAUUAACAUCUGUAUGUAGGUCAAGUUCAACAUGUAAAUGCUUGUGUGUAUGCAAAGGGGCAACUCACAGAGGUGGGCUCAAACUAUGUUGGGAGGUUAGACCUGGAGCAUAACCAGAAUCACCAGUUAGUGUGUAAACUACAUACAAUUCUAAUGUUAGUCUAUUUUACCAAUCCUCAACAAACAAGAUGCCUUCUGCCAGUUGUUACAAGAGAUUAAACUCUGACAAACACCUAAAUCCUUAUAAUCUGAAAUUCUUCCAAGAGAUUUCCUGGUGUUGACAGGGAAACACUGAAUGUUGACAACCUGUUAAACUUUCUGACCUAAGCAAUGGACUGUGAAUCCCUCUGUUGUAAACACAGUUUCUCAGAAGGUCUAUUUUCUGUGCAGCUUUUCAAAGGGCCGCCCUACAAACAGGGAGCAGCAGUGAACUUUGGCCCAUAUACGGAGUCCUCUGGUUUGUUGCUGCUAAGGUUCUCCUACUCACUCUCUGGUUGGCCAAAGAACAGAAUGAUAACAAGGAAAAACCCAGCUGCCCCUCCCACCAAAACAUUCUGUUGAGUCUUUUUGCACUAGAAAUUGUCUAUGAAUAUUUAUGAAAAUAUUGUAAUUCACAGUUAUUCAAAGAAUUCUACACUCAAACAUCUGCUACAUGAAAAGAUUUGAUUCUGAAUAAAAAGAGAAGUAUUGCAGAAGAAGGGAAACAAAGUCUUUUUGAAGCACUUCCUUCUAAAUGCAAGCCUUAUUUAGCAAAUGUCCACGUUCCACCAAAGUGAAGUCCCCUGGUCAACGAUUGGUUCAGUUUUAAAGGGAAAUUUACGGUUUGCACUUCAGGUUUACACAGCGGUGUUCAAAGGACACAAAAUUUCCGGGGGCAAAGUGAAAAAAGACUUGGCUAGAAUAACCAGCACCAUUUAAAUGGGAAAUAAACCAAACUGUCUACUCGAAAGAUUCAAAAUGAUACGGUCAUCUGACUAAACCUGCUAAGUGAUAACAGAAUUGCUUGCUGUCCAUAGACAAAAGGCAAAUAUGCUAAACCAACUGUUAUAUAAAUAUUAAGAUAAUUGACAGGAGCAGUGUCCGUUAGCAUGACACACAACAUGUCAUUUAAAUUAUUAUUUUUAUUAUAUUAAAUACAUAUUUGCUACAUUGUAUUGUUAGUAUUAAACAUGCAGUUUUUAUGACCUCUGAUUAACGUAAGACAAUUGUGGGACAAUAUAAGAAUACAAAUAAAAGGAUUUUUAAAUGUAUAUUCAUGCACAUUCAUGCCUGUGUUGUUAGUCAACUACUCAGCUUCAAUUACUCAUUUGCUUGGAGAAAAAUAAUGUGUGACAGAGAAAUUAUUUGAAACCUCCAGCUUUUGUACAAUAUAUGAACAUGAUAAUUUUGUAAAGACUGUCGGCAUCACAGUAUCAUUGAUUUGUUCAUUAAAAUGUCCAGCUACUUCAAGAGAUGUAUCGAGUCAUCAAGAAGUCAUCAAUUCUUCACCCACGCUCAUUUUGUUCAAAACAUGACUUUCUUCGGUAGGACACAAAAUUAAUUUUCAGAAAUAUCUUGGGUGUUUUGUGUUCAUAAUGGAAGUCAAUAGCAGUCAGUGUUGUUUAGGUACAAAUGUUCUUCAAAACAGCUUAUUACAGAAGCAAAUCAAACAGUUUUAAAACAAUACGAGGGUAAAAUGACGAAAGCAAUUUGAUUUUGGGUGAACUAUUCCUUUAACAAGCUACUGAAGUCGACCUACUCUGAUAUGAAAGACAGGAAUGAAUGAGCUCUUUCUCACCAAGUUUGCAAGCUUUUUAAACUCACUGACCAGACGCAUAUGACCCCUGUGAGUAUUUUUCCUCAAUAAACACACAUGCUCCUAUUAGUAGCGUUUUAUAAUACCUUAUAUCACCAUUCUGAGUUAAGAGUCAGCAAAUGACCUUGAGAGAUAUAAGCCUGUUAAUCAAUGCUAUGGUUUGUAUCGCUAUUAAAGAGACAUGAAAUGUGCAUCUGAAGCACCUCUAGAAGAAAAGAUCAGCGGGGGCCAUUCAGGAAUGAGAAUGGGGUCCAAAAAUAGCUGUAGUAUGAUACGAAAGUGAUCCCUAUCAAACAACCAGCCACUAUCACAGGAGUCUUGCUGACAGUUGAAAACAAAAGGUCUCUUGUUUUGCUACAGGAAACGACAUUCGGGUUCGUAUUGAACUUUUAUUUCGUCAUUCUUGUCUGAGGAGGAGGCAAAAUGUGAUAGGUGAGAAGCAUCAAGGAAAGAACACUUCCUGAAACACAGAACCAUGCUUAAGACCACAAAUGGUUGAGACAACACCAGAGGAGACGGUGUAUGAACUUGCACUAGGAUCGAGCUCACGUUGGAAAAUGUUGGUUUCUGAUAGAGUUUAGAAAGGAAGGCAUGCAGGGAUUUGUCCCCUUCAGGAUAAUGAAGGCUAUAUGACCAGGCCGUCAGAAGAACCUGCUUUAGCUGACCAGCAGAGAGGGAUGACUGACUAUCAUGGAUUCAAGGAUUGCGCAAUCCAGUUUGGUACAGAGAACCCAACAACAAUGAAAACAAAUGUUAUUUAUGUUUAACAUAUUAGUCUCAUAGCCUAUACGAUGCCUGUGGAUACCCUGUAAAAAAAUAAAAUGA
This is a long non-coding RNA of Triplophysa dalaica, 3590 nucleotides long. RefSeq lists it as uncharacterized. The transcript has 3 exons. NCBI's taxonomy places the organism in Eukaryota, Metazoa, Chordata, Actinopteri, Cypriniformes, Nemacheilidae. The record is from RefSeq and is a predicted model, not a curated record.